This 253-nucleotide ribosomal RNA is filed under the name uncultured bacterium. Its description in RNAcentral is "partial 16S ribosomal RNA". It matches the Rfam family "Bacterial small subunit ribosomal RNA", at positions 524 to 776 of the family's 1533-position model. The record is from RNAcentral.
UACGGAGGGUGCAAGCGUUAUCCGGAUUUAUUGGGUUUAAAGGGUGCGUAGGUGGGAGAGUAAGUCAGAGGUGAAAGCUAGCAGCUUAACUGUUAAAUUGCCUUUGAUACUGCUUUUCUUGAGUAUAGUUGGCGUUGGCGGAAUGUGACAUGUAGCGGUGAAAUGCGUAGAUAUGUCACAGAACACCGAUCGCGAAGGCAGCUAACGAAGCUAUCACUGACACUGAUGCACGAAAGCGUGGGGAGCAAACAGG